Molecule: small nucleolar RNA, 149 nt
Organism: Nannospalax galili (Upper Galilee mountains blind mole rat)
Lineage: Eukaryota; Metazoa; Chordata; Mammalia; Rodentia; Spalacidae
Source: Ensembl
GGUAUAUAUUGUUAGAGCUUGGAGCUAAGGUCACAAACUAGCAGAUGAACACUCACAAGUGUAGGUAGUGUGCUACACGAGUGGCAGGUUUUUGCUAACACUCCACUCUGGCCUGUGAGUGGAGUUUGAUAGUAACCUUUGCUACAAGU